Molecule: ribosomal RNA, 406 nt
Filed under: uncultured bacterium
Lineage: Bacteria
Description: partial 16S ribosomal RNA
Rfam family: Bacterial small subunit ribosomal RNA
Source: RNAcentral
AUUGAACGCUGGCGGCAGGCCUAACACAUGCAAGUCGAACGAGUGGCGGACGGGUGAGUAAUGUCUGGGAAACUGCCCGAUGGAGGGGGAUAACUACUGGAAACGGUAGCUAAUACCGCAUACCAUCGGAUGUGCCCAGAUGGGAUUAGCUAGUAGGUGGGGUAACGGCUCACCUAGGCGACGAUCCCUAGCUGGUCUGAGAGGAUGACCAGGAAAACUGGAAUGGAGAGACGGGCCAGAAUCCUACGGGAGGAAGCAGGGGGGGAUAUGGCACAAGGGGCGCAAGCAUGAUGGAGCCAUGCGGCGGGUAGGAAGAAGGCCUUCGGGUUGUAAAGUACUUUGAGCGAGAAGGAGUUACUCGCAGAAGAAGCACCGGCGAACUCCGUGCCAGCAGCCGCGGUAAUUC